AGAGUUUGAUCAUGGCUCAGGAUAAACGCUGGCGGCGUGCUUUAUGCAUGCAAGUCGUACGGUAUUGAUAGAUCAGGCUUGCCUGGGAUAUCAAGAGAGUGGCAGACGGGUGAGUAACGCGUAAGUAAUCUGCCCCUAAGUAAGGGAUAACCCCGAGAAAUCGGAGCUAAUACCUUAUGUGGUGGUGGGGAUAAUGCUUCAUCACUAAAGCCGCAAGGCGCUUGGGGAGGAGCUUGUGUCCGAUUAGCUAGUUGGUAUGGUAAUGGCUUACCAAGGCGAUGAUCGGUAGCUGGUCUGAGAGGAUGAUCAGCCACACUGGGACUGAGACACGGCCCAGACUCCUACGGGAGGCAGCAGCAAGGAAUAUUGGGCAAUGGGCGAAAGCCUGACCCAGCGACGCCGCGUGGGGGAUGACGGCCUUCGGGUUGUAAACCCCUUUUCUCGGGGAAGAAUAAUGACGGUACCUGAGGAAUAAGUCUCGGCUAACUACGUGCCAGCAGCCGCGGUAAUACGUAGGAGGCGAGCGUUAUCCGGAUUUACUGGGCGUAAAGGGGGCGCAGGCGGCUUUUCAAGUCGGAUGUGAAAUCUCCCUGCUUAACGGGGAGGCGUCAUUCGAUACUGUUGAGCUUGAGGGCAGCAGAGGGAGGUGGAAUUCCCGGUGUAGUGGUGAAAUGCGUAGAUAUCGGGAGGAACACCAGUGGCGAAGGCGGCCUUCUGGGCUGUUCCUGACGCUGAGGCCCGAAAGCGCGGGGAGCGAACAGGAUUAGAUACCCUGGUAGUCCGCGCAGUAAACGAUGGACACUAGGUAUAGUGAGUAUCGACCCUCUCUGUGCCGAAGUUAACGCGUUAAGUGUCCCGCCUGGGGAGUACGGCCGCAAGGCUAAAACUCAAAUGAAUUGACGG
Molecule: ribosomal RNA, 903 nt
Filed under: uncultured bacterium
Lineage: Bacteria
Description: bacterial SSU rRNA
Rfam family: Bacterial small subunit ribosomal RNA
Source: RNAcentral